GCUAUACAUGCAAGUCGAACGAACUCUGGUAUUGAUUGGUGCUUGCAUCAUGAUUUACAUUUGAGUGAGUGGCGAACUGGUGAGUAACACGUGGGAAACCUGCCCAGAAGCGGGGGAUAACACCUGGAAACAGAUGCUAAUACCGCAUAACAACUUGGACCGCAUGGUCCGAGUUUGAAAGAUGGCUUCGGCUAUCACUUUUGGAUGGUCCCGCGGCGUAUUAGCUAGAUGGUGGGGUAACGGCUCACCAUGGCAAUGAUACGUAGCCGACCUGAGAGGGUAAUCGGCCACAUUGGGACUGAGACACGGCCCAAACUCCUACGGGAGGCAGCAGUAGGGAAUCUUCCACAAUGGACGAAAGUCUGAUGGAGCAACGCCGCGUGAGUGAAGAAGGGUUUCGGCUCGUAAAACUCUGUUGUUAAAGAAGAACAUAUCUGAGAGUAACUGUUCAGGUAUUGACGGUAUUUAACCAGAAAGCCACGGCUAACUACGUGCCAGCAGCCGCGGUAAUACGUAGGUGGCAAGCGUUGUCCGGAUUUAUUGGGCGUAAAGCGAGCGCAGGCGGUUUUUUAAGUCUGAUGUGAAAGCCUUCGGCUCAACCGAAGAAGUGCAUCGGAAACUGGGAAACUUGAGUGCAGAAGAGGACAGUGGAACUCCAUGUGUAGCGGUGAAAUGCGUAGAUAUAUGGAAGAACACCAGUGGCGAAGGCGGCUGUCUGGUCUGUAACUGACGCUGACGCUCGAAAGUAUGGGUAGCAAACAGGAUUAGAUACCCUGGUAGUCCAUACCGUAAACGAUGAAUGCUAAGUGUUGGAGGGUUUCCGCCCCUUCAGUGCUGCAGCUAACGCAUUAGCAUUCCGCCUGGGGGAGUACGGCCGCAAGGCUGAACUCAAGGAUGA
RNAcentral lists this ribosomal RNA (898 nucleotides) under Lactiplantibacillus plantarum. RNAcentral describes it as "bacterial SSU rRNA". It matches the Rfam family "Bacterial small subunit ribosomal RNA", at positions 48 to 913 of the family's 1533-position model. The record is from RNAcentral. Lineage: Bacteria; Bacillati; Bacillota; Bacilli; Lactobacillales; Lactobacillaceae.